GGGCGUGGCCGCUAUUAUAAAAAAAGUGAGAACGCGAAGCGUUCGCACUUUGUCCUAAUAAUAUAUAUAUUAUUAGGACAAAGUGCGAACGCUUCGCGUUCUCACUUUUUUUAUAAUAGCGGCCACGCCC
RNAcentral lists this microRNA precursor (130 nucleotides) under Human alphaherpesvirus 1 (Herpes simplex virus type 1). Its description in RNAcentral is "microRNA hsv1-mir-H11 precursor". Its record names the gene hsv1-mir-H11. The stretch from base 30 to 101 matches the Rfam family "mir-H11 microRNA precursor family". Lineage: Duplodnaviria; Heunggongvirae; Peploviricota; Herviviricetes; Herpesvirales; Orthoherpesviridae. The record is from miRBase by way of RNAcentral.